GAUAAGAACGCAGCGAAAUGCGAUAAGUAAUGUGAAUUGCAGAAUUCAGUGAAUCAUCGAAUCUUUGAACGCACAUUGCGCCCCCUGGCAUUCCGGGGGGCAUGCCUGUUCGAGCGUCAUUACAACCCUCAAGCUCUGCUUGGUAUUGGGCUCUGCUGGGACCGGCAGGCCUUAAAAUCAGUGGCGGCGCCACUCGGCUUCAAGCGUAGUAAUUCUUCUCGCUUCGGAGACCCGGGUGCGUGCUAGCCAGCAACCCCCAACUUUCUUAGGUUGACCUCGGAUCAGGUAGGGAUACCCGCUGAACUUAAGCAUAUCAAUAAGCGGAGGA
RNAcentral lists this unclassified non-coding RNA (328 nucleotides) under soil metagenome. RNAcentral's name for it is "partial contains 5.8S ribosomal RNA, internal transcribed spacer 2, and large subunit ribosomal RNA". The stretch from base 4 to 119 matches the Rfam family "5.8S ribosomal RNA", at positions 39 to 154 of the family's 154-position model. The record is from RNAcentral.